GGUAGUCCACGCUGUAAACGAUGUCGAUUUGGAGGUUGUGCCCUUGAGGCGUGGCUUCCGGAGCUAACGCGUUAAAUCGACCGCCUGGGGAGUACGGCCGCAAGGUUAAAACUCAAAUGAAUUGACGGGGGCCCGCACAAGCGGUGGAGCAUGUGGUUUAAUUCGAUGCAACGCGAAGAACCUUACCUACUCUUGACAUCCAGAGAACUUUCCAGAGAUGGAUUGGUGCCUUCGGGAACUCUGAGACAGGUGCUGCAUGGCUGUCGUCAGCUCGUGUUGUGAAAUGUUGGGUUAAGUCCCGCAACGAGCGCAACCCUUAUCCUUUGUUGCCAGCGGUUCGGCCGGGAACUCAAAGGAGACUGCCAGUGAUAAACUGGAGGAAGGUGGGGAUGACGUCAAGUCAUCAUGGCCCUUACGAGUAGGGCUACACACGUGCUACAAUGGCAUAUACAAAGAGAAGCGACCUCGCGAGAGCAAGCGGACCUCAUAAAGUAUGUCGUAGUCCGGAUUGGAGUCUGCAACUCGACUCCAUGAAGUCGGAAUCGCUAGUAAUCGUAGAUCAGAAUGCUACGGUGAAUACGUUCCCGGGCCUUGUACACACCGCCCGUCACACCAUGGGGAGUGGGUUGCAAAAGAAGUAGGUAGCUUAACCUUCGGGAGGGCGCUUACCACUUUGUGAUUCAUGACUGGGGGUGAAGUCGUAACAAGGUACCAAGGGCGAA
RNAcentral lists this ribosomal RNA (722 nucleotides) under uncultured Serratia sp. Its description in RNAcentral is "bacterial SSU rRNA". It matches the Rfam family "Bacterial small subunit ribosomal RNA", at positions 789 to 1509 of the family's 1533-position model. The record is from RNAcentral. Lineage: Bacteria; Pseudomonadati; Pseudomonadota; Gammaproteobacteria; Enterobacterales; Yersiniaceae.